Non-coding RNA from Ictidomys tridecemlineatus (thirteen-lined ground squirrel), 1390 nucleotides. NCBI's taxonomy places the organism in Eukaryota, Metazoa, Chordata, Mammalia, Rodentia, Sciuridae. The record is from RefSeq and is a predicted model, not a curated record.
CUGUUUAAGAGGACUCUGCCCUGUAUCCCAACCACUUUCCAAAGACCUCUUAAUACCAACACUUUGCAGGGUGACAUUUAUGAAGAAAGAAAAAUCUGCAAGAUAUCUGAAAAAGCAAGUCAUAUGCCAGAAUACAGUGGAAAGAGUGAUGCAGAUGAGCAGAAGCUGGAACAGUCAGUCAACUAUGCUUCCCACAGGAUAAUAUCUGCGUGGUGCCUUUUCACAGUUACUACAUGUACCAAGGAGGAAGAGGAUUUGAGUGUUUGGCAGUUAUAUCCACAGAUGUCAUAAUUGCUCCUUUGAAGAGUCUCUGCUGGCUAUCCUCAGGUACUCUCUCCACUGUGGCCAGGGAGGAGAUUCACAUGGCACAAAGAAAGAGUAAUGAAUAUUCCAUGAAAUUUGGGGAAUUGCAAUUGCUUAGAAUUUUAUACUCCCUGGAAUGAUGACCCAUAGCACAGAAUUCACAGCCUGAUCAGGUGAGAGCAUGAUACAAUGUGAAGUGUGUGGGGCGGUAUUAUUUAUUUACUCAUUAUUAUUGGGCAUUUAUUGAAAAUUGAGUUCUAUUCUUUGUGUGAUAUAAUAGGCACACGUUUUCCUAGUCCAGUCUAAUGGAAGAACCAGCCCUUACCAAAAAAUUAAAAUAAUACAAGUAACAACAAUUUCAAAUGUAAUAAAUGCCACUUUCCUCUGCUGCUGCCAUCAAACAUCUAAACCACCUCAUCUGUACCCUUACUUUCUGUCUUCCCUCCUGGUACUGUGAAGCAAUGACUUAGGCUCCUCCUAGGAGAGAGUCUCCCCACUCAAGUUACCACUCCCCAAUUCAAGUUACCACUGCCAUAUGUCUCUUUUUGCUCUCUACUUGAUUAUUUCUGUUAUUAUCCCAAAAUGCUAUCAUUCUCCCAUCUUAAUACACAAGUCUUUUGAUUGUAGAUCGCCUUCCAGUGAUGGCCCAAUAUCUAUGUUUCCAAGAAGUGGUAUAGUUACUGUCAAAUCUUUCUUCCUGUUCUCUCUUACUAUCUAGCCAAGCUGUUUUUUUUUUCAACAUCUCCCUUAAACUGUGCUUUUGAGGGUCACCAAUGACCUCCAAAUGGCCAACUUAUAAGACUAAUUUUAAUUUCUAUAUCAUUUGCCUUAUCAACAGUUUUCUCAUAAUUGAUCACCUGUCCUAUAAAACUUUUAUUUAUUUAUUUAUUUUUACUUUGCCUCUGGCACACAAAUUUCUCUUCUCCACACAAAGGACUGGCCAUUCAUAUGUCUCUGCUGAUUCUCUUCAUCUCAUCAAGUACUUGCAGUCUCUAAUCCCUGGACUUCUUUAUGUAUCUAUUGUUUUAUGUGUGGGGUGUACAGAGAUUGAAGCCAAUCUAGUUCUAAGAACUUCAAAGUUGAGUGA